This 119-nucleotide ribosomal RNA is filed under the name Clostridioides sp. ZZV14-6345. RNAcentral also lists the same sequence under 1 other name. The record is from RNAcentral. Lineage: Bacteria; Bacillati; Bacillota; Clostridia; Peptostreptococcales; Peptostreptococcaceae.
UGUGGUUACAAUAGCAAAUAAAAGAUAAACCUGUUCCCAUUAUGAACACAGAAGUUAAGCUCUUUAGCGAUGAUGGUACUUGGUAGGCGACUGGCUGUGAGAGUAAGACAUAGCCACAU